Molecule: unclassified non-coding RNA, 338 nt
Filed under: uncultured fungus
Lineage: Eukaryota; Fungi
Description: partial contains small subunit ribosomal RNA, internal transcribed spacer 1, and 5.8S ribosomal RNA
Rfam family: Eukaryotic small subunit ribosomal RNA (bases 1-73)
Source: RNAcentral
UCAAACUUGGUCAUUUAGAGGAAGUAAAAGUCGUAACAAGGUUUCCGUAGGUGAACCUGCGGAAGGAUCAUUGAUGAAAUUCAAGGCGGUGUCUGACUGUGCUGGCCCCUCGGGGCAUGUGCACGUCUGGCGUCGUCCAUCUCACACACACCUCGUGCACACUCUGGAAGGUGCAGCGCGUUUGUAGGGUUUGCCGGCAUUGGCCGGCUCUCUCGGGAGCGUGUUGCCCUUCCACCCUUUCAUACACACCUUUGAUGCGUCCCGCGUGUCUUACGAAUGUAACCAAUACAACUUUCAACAACGGAUCUCUUGGCUCUCGCAUCGAUGAAGAACGCAGC